AGAGUUUGAUCAUGGCUCAGAACGAACGCUGGCGGCAGGCUUAACACAUGCAAGUCGAACGGUUGUAGCAAUACAGCAGUGGCAGACGGUGAGUAACACGUGGGAACCUUCCUAGGGGUACGGAACAACUCAGGGAAACUUGAGCUAAUACCGUAUACGUCCGUGAGGAGAAAGAUUUAUCGCCCUUAGACGGGCCCGCGUCGGAUUAGCUAGUUGUGGGGUAACGGCCUACCAAGGCGACGAUCCGUAGCUGAUCUUAGAGGAUGAUCAGCCACACUGGGACUGAGACACGGCCCAGACUCCUACGGGAGGCAGCAGUGGGGAAUCUUGGACAAUGGGCGCAAGCCUGAUCCAGCCAUGCCGCGUGAGUGAAGAAGGUCUUCGGAUUGUAAAGCUCUUUUGCCAGGGACGAUAAUGACGGUACCUGGAGAAUAAGCCCCGGCAAACUUCGUG
RNAcentral lists this ribosomal RNA (453 nucleotides) under uncultured bacterium. RNAcentral describes it as "bacterial SSU rRNA". It matches the Rfam family "Bacterial small subunit ribosomal RNA", at positions 8 to 507 of the family's 1533-position model. The record is from RNAcentral.